RNAcentral lists this long non-coding RNA (292 nucleotides) under Calidris pugnax (ruff). Its description in RNAcentral is "lncRNA (ENSCPUG00000004359.1)". Lineage: Eukaryota; Metazoa; Chordata; Aves; Charadriiformes; Scolopacidae. The record is from RNAcentral.
GUGGGACCCUCUUCUGAUAUGUGAUCUACAGCCAGCUCCGUUGAGUCGUACGAUGACAAUGUUAUCACUGCCACAUCUCUGGGAACCAGUUAUUCAUAAGGAUACGACCUCCUCUCAGCUGUUGUACGCCUGCAAAAACCAGCCUCUUAUUAAAAAGGGAAAGUCCAUAGUCUUGUGGACCUUCUGCGAUGUGCUCGGCGCGCGAGCUCUUGACUUCGUGCAGAGGAGAAGAGCCUGUGUCAAACGCCUUUCAUUUGCAUGUGGCAAGAUAGAAAAAGCAAACCCUGUGUGA